GCGCAGCAGUCGAGAAUUUUUCUCAAUGGGGGCAACCCUGAAGGAGCGACGCCGCGUGGAGGAUGAAGGCUUUCGGGUUGUAAACUCCUGUCAUUUGAGAACAAGUGCCAACAAGUAACUACUGUUAGCUUGAUAGUAUCAGAAGAGGAAGGGACGGCUAACUCUGUGCCAGCAGCCGCGGUAAUACAGAGGUCCCAAGCGUUGUUCGGAUUCAUUGGGCGUAAAGGGUGCGUAGGUGGCGCCGUAAGUCAGGUGUGAAAUCUCGGGGCUUAACUCCGAAACUGCAUUUGAUACUGCGGUGCUUGAGGACUGGAGAGGAGACUGGAAUUCAUGGUGCAGCAGUGAAAUGCGUAGAGAUCAUGAGGAAGACCAGUGGCGAAGGCGGGUCUCUGGACAGUUCCUGACACUGAGGCACGAAGGCCAGGGGAGCAAACGGGAUUAGAUACCCCGGUAGU
Molecule: ribosomal RNA, 455 nt
Filed under: uncultured organism
Description: bacterial SSU rRNA
Rfam family: Bacterial small subunit ribosomal RNA
Source: RNAcentral